RNAcentral lists this ribosomal RNA (425 nucleotides) under uncultured bacterium. RNAcentral's name for it is "bacterial SSU rRNA". It matches the Rfam family "Bacterial small subunit ribosomal RNA", at positions 356 to 773 of the family's 1533-position model. The record is from RNAcentral.
GGGGAAUUUUGGACAAUGGGGGAAACCCUGAUCCAGCAAUGCCGCGUGCAGGAUGAAGGCCUUCGGGUUGUAAACUGCUUUUGUACGGAACGAAAAGGCUCUGGAUAAUACCUGGGGCUCAUGACGGUACCGUAAGAAUAAGCACCGGCUAACUACGUGCCAGCAGCCGCGGUAAUACGUAGGGUGCAAGCGUUAAUCGGAAUUACUGGGCGUAAAGCGUGCGCAGGCGGUUAUGUAAGACAGAGGUGAAAUCCCCGGGCUCAACCUGGGAACGGCCUUUGUGACUGCAUAGCUAGAGUACGGUAGAGGGGGAUGGAAUUCCGCGUGUAGCAGUGAAAUGCGUAGAUAUGCGGAGGAACACCGAUGGCGAAGGCAAUCCCCUGGACCUGUACUGACGCUCAUGCACGAAAGCGUGGGGAGCAAAC